Long non-coding RNA from Nanorana parkeri, 216 nucleotides. RefSeq lists it as uncharacterized. The record is from RefSeq and is a predicted model, not a curated record. The transcript is spliced from 3 exons. NCBI's taxonomy places the organism in Eukaryota, Metazoa, Chordata, Amphibia, Anura, Dicroglossidae.
UGUAGGCAUGAGGGCCUCAGGUAAUUCUUAUUUGGUCCUGCAUUAUUGUGGGGCACAGAAAAUAUUAGUGAAAACAAAUUACCCCCACCACAUCCUCCACUUCACUUCAAAAUUAAAAACAUGUUUGCAAAAAUAAAGCCUGCAGUGUACUGUUGGAGUAUCUGAGAGCAUUUAACUGUAGAGUUUUAAACAUUAUAGUUUACUUGUUUUCCUUGA